This is a long non-coding RNA of Gasterosteus aculeatus aculeatus (three-spined stickleback), 1399 nucleotides long. The record is from Ensembl. Lineage: Eukaryota; Metazoa; Chordata; Actinopteri; Perciformes; Gasterosteidae.
GACCUCGCUCUGUUAUCUACCCGAGUCACGGGGUUCAAGCGCUGCAGGUGUCGGUCGGCAGAGCUAUUACACUGUUCUGCGAUGAAGAACUAUGAUGAUGAUCUGCAUUAUGGCACAACUCAUUACGUGACUGACAGAAAAGGAUGAGCCGUAUGCAAGAGCUGGAACGGAGAUGUUUCCGACUGUUAGAGAGAAAAUGGAUUGUCUCCUGCCUUUAACAUGUGCCGACCCGUCCUUGGGUGUAGGAGCCUUGGAUGCAGCUGUGGGCCCUGAUACAUACUUGGAUGGCUUGUCUUCCAUUAACCUUGAUCAACUGACUUCUACAAUUUCCAGGUCCAAAUCAUCUACCUGUUUCGUGGAUCCGAUUUCGACUCGGCUGCUUAAGAAGCUUUUUCCUUUAAUUAGUAUGUCUUUACUGGAUAUUACGUAUAUGUCUGUUGACGAGACAUGUACCGCAGUCCUUCAAGGUAGCUGUAAUUAAACCUCUUCUUAAAAAAAAACUAUUCUUGCUCCAGAGGUGUUGGUAAACUACCGCUAAUCUCCUCUUCCUCUAUAAGAUCCUGGAGGAAAUACAAACACAAAUCAGUUGUGUGAGUUUCUACAUAACAAUGGACAAAGGACUCGUCUCUGUUCUUGUCUUGCUGGACCUCAGCUGCCAUGUCUGACACCAUUAACCAUUGUAUCCUGUUGCAGAGACUAGAGACAUCAGGACCACAGAGAGCCUUUACAUCUUCCGUCUAAAGACACACUUCUUUAGAUUAUACCUGCAAUGUAAUUGGUAUUAAAAAUCUGCACUCUGGCUUGUUCAAGUCGUAUUUUUCGGAUCGAUCCCAGUUUGUGCAGUUUGUUCAUCAAGCGGUGAAUCCUUGAUGACUCCAAAGUUGGUCACGGAGUCCCACAAGGUUCUGAGCGUGAGCGAUUUUAUUUACGCUCUGUAUGCUUCCUUCAGGCAAUGUUAUUAGAAAACACUGCAUAAACGUCUGUUGUUAUGCAGAUGACACUCGAUUGUAUCUGUCGAUCAAGCCAGAUGAGACCGACCAGCUCGUUAGACUUCAGGAAUGUCUUGGAUGACCAGCAAUUUUCUGAUGUUAAACUCAGACAAAACAGAUGUUGAUAGGACCAGAGGGCCUUUGAAGUCAGCCGUCUUGUGAUCUCUGGUGAUCUGGUAUCCAGGAGAGGGAUCCCUCCUCUGCCGUUCCCCCCAAGGUCUGAUGCAAAUUAGUGAUUUACGAUUCUUGGCUAUAUAAAAUAAAAUGAAUUGAAUGGAAUUGAAUUGAAUUGUUUUGUAUGUUACUGGUCUUCCCUCUAAGAAUUUGCAUACUGCAAACACAAGCAGAGAAUACUCAAACCAAAACUGGUUAAACCGCCCUGACCACUUUCAGUUUAACUUUCGCUUUCC